RNAcentral lists this ribosomal RNA (497 nucleotides) under uncultured bacterium. Its description in RNAcentral is "partial 16S ribosomal RNA". It matches the Rfam family "Bacterial small subunit ribosomal RNA", at positions 28 to 507 of the family's 1533-position model. The record is from RNAcentral.
GACGAACGCUGGCGGCGUGCCUAAUACAUGCAAGUAGAACGCUGAAGAGAGGAGCUUGCUCUUCUUGGAUUAGUUGCGAACGGGUGAGUAACGCGUAGGUAACCUGCCUUUUAGCGGGGGAUAACUAUUGGAAACGAUAGCUAAUACCGCAUAACAAUGGAUGCCACAUGUCUUUUCUUUGAAAGGGGCACUUGCUCCACUACAAGAUGGACCUGCGUUGUAUUAGCUAGUAGGUGAGGUAACGGCUUACCUAGGCGACGAUACAUAGCCGAACUGAGAGGGUGGUCGGCCACACUGGGACUGAGACACGGCCCAGGAUCCUACGGGAGGCAGGAGUAGGGAAUCUUCGGGAAUGGGGGGAAAGCUGACCGAGCAACGCCGCGUGAGUGAAGAAGGGUUUCGGAACGGAAAGCUCUGUUGUAAGGCAAGAACGAGUGUGAGAGUGGAAAGUGCACGCUGUGACGGUAGCUUACCAGAAAGGGACGGCUAACUACGUG